This 349-nucleotide transfer-messenger RNA is filed under the name Christensenellales. Its description in RNAcentral is "Ventricola sp900313545 Standard tmRNA". It matches the Rfam family "transfer-messenger RNA". Rfam says of the family: Bacterial tmRNA, also known as 10Sa RNA or SsrA, is named for its dual tRNA and mRNA-like properties. Its role is to liberate the mRNA from a stalled ribosome. To accomplish this part of the tmRNA is used as a reading frame that ends in a translation stop signal. RNAcentral also lists the same sequence under 1 other name. The record is from RNAcentral. Lineage: Bacteria; Bacillati; Bacillota; Clostridia.
GGGGGUGUACUGGUUUCGACGGGAUUGCAGGUGAUCAGGUAAGCGAGCCGCAGCCCCGGGCUGCGUUAAAACCGGGAAAUUAAAAUUGAACUGACACUAACAGUUAUUCUUUCGCUGCCUAAUUAGGCGCGCGUCAGCCCGACGAUCCCGCUGCGUCGGUCACUGGCGUCGAAUUAGCGGGCAAUGUUUUCGCCUAAGCUUUGCAUCGAAAACACAUUUAUGAAGCUACCGAUUCGCUGAGCCCGGCUGUGGGCGCUUUGAAGAGGGAAAUUUAAAACGCAGCCUUCGCUCGGAGAAAGCCUGGUUGUCUCUUUUUCGGACAGGAGUUCGAUUCUCCUCACCUCCACCA